Molecule: ribosomal RNA, 252 nt
Filed under: Escherichia coli
Lineage: Bacteria; Pseudomonadati; Pseudomonadota; Gammaproteobacteria; Enterobacterales; Enterobacteriaceae
Description: partial 16S ribosomal RNA
Rfam family: Bacterial small subunit ribosomal RNA
Source: RNAcentral
AAAUUGAAGAGUUUGAUCAUGGCUCAGAUUGAACGCUGGCGGCAGGCCUAACACAUGCAAGUCGAACGGUAACAGAAAGCAGCUUGCUGCUUUGCUGACGAGUGGCGGACGGGUGAGUAAUGUCUGGGAAACUGCCUGAUGGAGGGGGAUAACUACUGGAAACGGUAGCUAAUACCGCAUAACGUCGCAAGACCAAAGAGGGGGACCUUCGGGCCUCUUGCCAUCGGAUGUGCCCAGAUGGGAUUAGCUUGU